Molecule: long non-coding RNA, 337 nt
Organism: Aphis gossypii (cotton aphid)
Lineage: Eukaryota; Metazoa; Arthropoda; Insecta; Hemiptera; Aphididae
Exons: 3
Source: RefSeq, a predicted model, not a curated record
AUAAAUGAAAAAAAAAAUUGACGGACGAAACACGACUUAAAUGUCAGUUGUUGAUGCGCUGUCCACGGUCCAAUUAUGUAUUUACGAAGUCACGUCUCCUACUAUCACAAUCGAAACUAUAAUAACGAAUUGCAAGAUCUGUACACCGGCGGAGAGCGGACUAGGACCGGUAAAGAAAAACCGAGGGCGGGCAAAAAAAUAGAAAUCAUGCUCGACGAUAUUUAUAUUAAGUAGUAGUAGUAGUACUAGGUAGCCUUACUGGAUACGGAAUUUCUGCUAUAAUCGAAUCACUCAACGGAUGGAACAGUCCUCGGCGGGAAACUUACUGUGAGAGUAC